RNAcentral lists this non-coding RNA (45 nucleotides) under Schistosoma margrebowiei. Lineage: Eukaryota; Metazoa; Platyhelminthes; Trematoda; Strigeidida; Schistosomatidae. The record is from RNAcentral.
AUCUAGCCGAUGAGUUCCGAAUAGAACGAAACGCGCGUCCUGGUU